CUUCGGCUCUGAGCGCUUCGGUGCGCGUCCGCGGCAACCAUGGCCGGAGCCGGGAGCCUGGCUGGGGGGCUCAGAGUGGAGCUGCAAGAGCGCCUGGCCUGUCUAAGGAAACAAAGGGAAGAAGCGAAGGCUGAUGAGAAGAAAAUCAAGGAGCUGUUGAAGCGAAUAGAUGCCGAGAAGCAGAACAUCCACCGGGAGUGGAAGGC
This is a long non-coding RNA of Euleptes europaea (tarantolino), 206 nucleotides long. RefSeq lists it as uncharacterized. The record is from RefSeq and is a predicted model, not a curated record. Lineage: Eukaryota; Metazoa; Chordata; Lepidosauria; Squamata; Sphaerodactylidae. The transcript has 3 exons.